AGCUCCAAUAGCAUAUGUUAAAGUUGUUGCGGUUAAAAAGCUCGUAGUUGGAUCUCGGCGGGCCGGGGCCGGUUCGCUCUCUAGCGUGACUGGCCCACUGGCCCGUGUGUUUGGCGGAGGUCGCGCGGGUGCUCUUAACCGAGUGUCCCGCGGCGCCGUCAGUUUGACUUUGAAAAAAUUAGAGUGCUCCAGGCAGGCUUGACACGCCUGAAUAGUCGUGCAUGGAAUGAUAGAAUAGGACGUCGUUUCUGUUCUGUUGGUCUUAAGAAAUCGACGUAAUGAUUGAUAGGGACAGUCGGGGGCAUUGGUAUUCAGACGCUAGAGGUGAAAUUCUUGGACCGUCUGAAGACCCACUACUGCGAAAGCAUUUGCCAAGAAUGUUUUCA
Molecule: ribosomal RNA, 386 nt
Filed under: uncultured eukaryote
Lineage: Eukaryota
Description: SSU rRNA
Rfam family: Eukaryotic small subunit ribosomal RNA
Source: RNAcentral